RNAcentral lists this ribosomal RNA (573 nucleotides) under uncultured bacterium. Its description in RNAcentral is "bacterial SSU rRNA". It matches the Rfam family "Bacterial small subunit ribosomal RNA", at positions 223 to 812 of the family's 1533-position model. The record is from RNAcentral.
GGAUGGGCCUGCGUCUGAUUAGCUAGUUGGUAAGGUAACGGCUUACCAAGGCGACGAUCAGUAGCCGACCUGAGAGGGUGAACGGCCACAUUGGAACUGAGACACGGUCCAAACUCCUACGGGAGGCAGCAGUGGGGAAUAUUGCACAAUGGGCGAAAGCCUGAUGCAGCAACGCCGCGUGAAGGAAGAAGGCCUUCGGGUCGUAAACUUCUGUCCUUGGGGAAGAAGAACUGACGGUACCCAAGGAGGAAGCCCCGGCUAACUACGUGCCAGCAGCCGCGGUAAUACGUAGGGGGCAAGCGUUAUCCGGAAUUAUUGGGCGUAAAGAGUACGUAGGUGGCAACCUAAGCGCAGGGUUUAAGGCAAUGGCUCAACCAUUGUUCGCCCUGCGAACUGGGAUGCUUGAGUGCAGGAGAGGAAAGCGGAAUUCCUAGUGUAGCGGUGAAAUGCGUAGAUAUUAGGAGGAACACCAGUGGCGAAGGCGGCUUUCUGGACUGUAACUGACACUGAGGUACGAAAGCGUGGGGAGCAAACAGGAUUAGAUACCCUGGUAGUCCACGCCGUAAACGAUGA